Molecule: ribosomal RNA, 240 nt
Filed under: uncultured bacterium
Lineage: Bacteria
Description: partial 16S ribosomal RNA
Rfam family: Bacterial small subunit ribosomal RNA
Source: RNAcentral
GAUCCUGGCUCAGGAUGAACGCUAGCUACAGGCUUAACACAUGCAAGUCGAGGGGAAACGACAUCGAAAGCUUGCUUUUGAUGGGCGUCGACCGGCGCACGGGUGAGUAACGCGUAUCCAACCUGCCCACCACUUGGGGAUAACCUUGCGAAAGUAAGACUAAUGCCCAAUGAUAUCCCACGAAGGCAUCCGAAUGGGAUUAAAGAUUUAUCGGUGAUGGAUGGGGAUGCGUCUGAUUGG